Molecule: ribosomal RNA, 468 nt
Filed under: uncultured bacterium
Lineage: Bacteria
Description: partial 16S ribosomal RNA
Rfam family: Bacterial small subunit ribosomal RNA
Source: RNAcentral
GACGAACGCUGGCGGCGUGCUUAACACAUGCAAGUCGAACGGAAAGGCCCUGCUUUUGUGGGGUGCUCGAGUGGCGAACGGGUGAGUAACACGUGAGUAACCUGCCCUUGACUUUCGGAUAACUUCAGGAAACUGGGGCUAAUACCGGAUAGGAGCUCCUGCUGCAUGGUGGGCGUUGGAAAGUUUCGGCGGUUGGGGAUGGACUCGCGGCUUAUCAGCUUGUUGGUGGAGUAGUGGCUUACCAAGGCUUUGACGGGUAGCCGGCCUGAGAGGGUGACCGGCGACAUUGGGACUGAGAUACGGCCCAGACUCCUACGUGAGGCAGCAGUGGGGAAUAUUGCACAGUGGGCGGAAGCCUGAUGCAGCAAUGCCGGGUGCGGGAUGACGGCCUUCGGGGGGUAAACCGAUUUCGACGGUGACGAAGCGGGAGUGACGGUAAUGGGUAAAGAAGCACCGGCUAACUACGUG